AUUGAACGCUGGCGGCAUGCCUUACACAUGCAAGUCGAACGGCAGCACGGGAGCAAUCCUGGUGGCGAGUGGCGAACGGGUGAGUAAUAUAUCGGAACGUGCCCAGUCGUGGGGAUAACGUAGCGAAAGCUACGCUAAUACCGCAUACGAUCUAUGGAUGAAAGCGGGGGAUCGCAAGACCUCGCGCGAUUGGAGCGGCCGAUAUCAGAUUAGGUAGUUGGUGAGGUAAAGGCUCACCAAGCCGACGAUCUGUAGCUGGUCUGAGAGGAUGAUCAGCCACACUGGGACUGAGACACGGCCCAGACUCCUACGGGAGGCAGCAGUGGGGAAUAUUGGACAAUGGGCGAAAGCCUGAUCCAGCAAUGCCGCGUGAGUGAUGAAGGCC
RNAcentral lists this ribosomal RNA (385 nucleotides) under uncultured bacterium. RNAcentral describes it as "bacterial SSU rRNA". It matches the Rfam family "Bacterial small subunit ribosomal RNA", at positions 30 to 416 of the family's 1533-position model. The record is from RNAcentral.